GAUGAACGCUGGCGGCGUGCCUAAUACAUGCAAGUCGAGCGAACGGACGAGACGCUUGCUUCUCUCUUGUUAGCGGCGGACGGGUGAGUAACAUGUGGAUAAUCUACCUAUAAGACUGGGAUAACUUCGGGAAACCGUAGCUUAUACCGUAUAAUAUUUUGAUCCGCAUGGUUCAAUAGUAAAAUACGGUCUUGGUGUCACUUAUCGAUGGAUCCGCGCUGCUUUAGCUAGUUGGUAAGGUAACGGCUUACCACGGCGACGAUGCAUAGCCGAGCUGAGUGGGUGAUCGCCGACCUGAGAACGUAAACGCGGUCAAGACUACUAAGAUAGGCAGCAGUAGGGAAUCUGCCGCAAUGGGCGAAAGCAUGACAGAACAGCGCGAAGUCAGUGAUGACGAUCUUCGGAGCGUGAAACUGUGUUACUAGGGAUAAACAUAUGUGUAAGUAACUGAGCACAGCGUGACGGUAACUAAUCAGAAAGCCACGGCUAACUACGUG
Molecule: ribosomal RNA, 497 nt
Filed under: uncultured bacterium
Lineage: Bacteria
Description: partial 16S ribosomal RNA
Rfam family: Bacterial small subunit ribosomal RNA
Source: RNAcentral